RNAcentral lists this ribosomal RNA (465 nucleotides) under uncultured bacterium. RNAcentral's name for it is "partial 16S ribosomal RNA". It matches the Rfam family "Bacterial small subunit ribosomal RNA", at positions 28 to 507 of the family's 1533-position model. The record is from RNAcentral.
GACGAACGCUGGCGGCGUGCUUAACACAUGCAAGUCGAACGGAAAGGCCCCUUUGGGGGUACUCGAGUGGUGCACGGGUGAGUAACACGUGAGUAACCUGCCCUUGACUUCGGGAUAACUUCAGGCAACUGGGGCUAAUACCGGCUAGGAAUCCUUGCUGCAUGGUGGGGGUUGGAAAGCUUCGGCGGUUUUGGGUGGACUCGCGGCUUAUCAGCUUGGUGGUGGGGUAGUGGCUUACCAAGGCUUUGACGGGUAGGCGGCCUGCGAGGGCGACCGGCCACAUUGGGACUGAGGUACGGCCCAGACUCCUACGGGAGGCAGCAGGGGGGAAUAUUGCACAAUGGGCGGAAGCCUGAUGCAGCAACGGCGCGGGCGGGAUGACGGGCUUCGGGUUGUAAACCGCGUUCAGCAGGGGCGAAGCUGGUGGUGACGGUACCUGCAGAAGAAGCACCGGCUAACUACGUG